This 338-nucleotide unclassified non-coding RNA is filed under the name soil metagenome. RNAcentral's name for it is "partial contains 5.8S ribosomal RNA, internal transcribed spacer 2, and large subunit ribosomal RNA". The stretch from base 1 to 120 matches the Rfam family "5.8S ribosomal RNA", at positions 35 to 154 of the family's 154-position model. The record is from RNAcentral.
GAUGAAGAACGUAGCGAAAUGCGAUAAGUAGUGUGAAUUGCAGAAUUCAGUGAAUCAUCGAAUCUUUGAACGCACAUUGCGCCCUUUGGUAUUCCUUAGGGCAUGCCUGUUCGAGCGUCAUUUAAACCUUCAAGCUCAGCUUGGUGAUGGGCGACUGUCCCCCCCCCCUCGCGGGGGGGACUCGCCUCAAAAACAUUGGCGGCCGGUACAUUGGCUUCGAGCGCAGCAGAAACGCGGUCUCGAGCCCGGUGGAUCGGCUCCCAUAAGCCUAUUCUUUUAUUUUGACCUCGGAUCAGGUAGGGAUACCCGCUGAACUUAAGCAUAUCAAUAAGCGGAGG